This 497-nucleotide ribosomal RNA is filed under the name uncultured bacterium. RNAcentral describes it as "partial 16S ribosomal RNA". It matches the Rfam family "Bacterial small subunit ribosomal RNA", at positions 28 to 507 of the family's 1533-position model. The record is from RNAcentral.
GACGAACGCUGGCGGCGUGCCUAAUACAUGCAAGUUGAGCGCUGAAGGUUGGUACUUGUACCAACUGGAUGAGCAGCGAACGGGUGAGUAACGCGUGGGGAAUCUGCCUUUGAGCGGGGGACAACAUUUGGAAACGAAUGCUAAUACCGCAUAAAAACUUUAAACACAAGUUUUAAGUUUGAAAGAUGCAAUUGCAUCACUCAAAGAUGAUCCCGCGUUGUAUUAGCUAGUUGGUGAGGUAAAGGCUCACCAAGGCGAUGAUACAUAGCCGACCUGAGAGGGGGAUCGGCCACAUUGGGACCGAGACACGGCCCAAACCCCUACGGGAGGCAGCAGUAGGGAAUCUUCGGCAAUGGACGAAAGUCUGACCGAGCAACGCCGCGUGAGUGAAGAAGGGUUUCGGAUCGUAAAACUCUGUUGGUAGAGAAGAACGUUGGUGAGAGUGGAAAGCUCAUCAAGUGACGGUAACUACCCAGAAAGGGACGGCUAACUACGUG